ACGGUGGUGGUCCGCCAUUUCGUGACGCCGCGAGACCGAGAAUCUGUAGGAGCAGAACCAGAGGGAAGCGGGUGGGCCUGUCGGAGCGUUAGGAUUUGAGCUUGGGCCUUUUGAACCCAGGAUCUCGAAAUGCAUCGUGAUUCCUGUCCCUUGGAUUGUAAGGUUUAUGUAGGUAAUCUUGGAAAUAAUGGAAACAAGACUGAAUUAGAACGGGCUUUUGGCUAUUAUGGACCACUCAGAAGUGUGUGGGUUGCUCGAAACCCUCCUGGCUUUGCUUUCGUCGAAUUUGAGGAUCCCCGAGAUGCUGCUGAUGCUGUCCGGGAACUAGAUGGAAGAACACUGUGUGGCUGCCGUGUAAGAGUGGAACUGUCGAAUGGUGAAAAGAGAAGUCGGAAUCGUGGGCCGCCUCCCUCUUGGGGUCGUCGUCCUCGAGAUGAUUACCGCAGGAGGAGUCCUCCACCUCGGCGCAGAGUCACCAUCAUGUCUCUUCUCACCACCCUCUGAAUCUGCAUUAGCCAGUCAACUAGCCCUUUCAGCGUCAUGUGACCAGCGCGCCCCAUUCAGCUUGGCUGGUGUCGUUUCACAUGACCCAGGCUGGCCAGUCGUCAGGUUGCACCGCCCUUUGGUUCCCGAGCAUGCUGUUUUCUCUCAGCCUUCUCUCCAACCUUAACCAAAUCGGCAGCAGCCACCUCGACCGCCCACACAUUCCUGGCCAAUCAGCUCAGCUGUUUAUUUACCAAAUGUCUUCACAACAACUACAGCAGCAGCCUUCGGCUAACAAAAAAGCAGGAAAAAUCCACAACACCCCCUUCGCCAACCAACUAAAUCCAACGCAACAUCUGGCAAAACCUUUUCAGCAAAUUCUUCCUGGCCGUCAGUCCGGCAGCCUCACCUCACCAUUUCUAGCUUGUUGAAACCCAAAACUAAUCCCCAAGAAGGAGAAGCUUUUCCCGAAGCCGGAGCAGGUCACUUUCUAGAGAUAGGAGAAGAGAAAGGUCUCUGUCUCGUGAGAGAAAUCACAAGCCGUCUCGAUCCUUCUCUAGGUCUCGUAGCCGAUCUAGGUCAAAUGAAAGGAAAUAGAAGACCAGUUUGCAAAAGUGGUGUACAGGAAAUAACUUCAUCUGACAGGAGUAUGUACAGGAAAUUAAAGUUUUGUUUGAGACUUCAUAAGCUUGGUGCAUUUUUAAGAUGGUUUAGCUGUUUAAAUUUGUUUUGUCUCUUGGAACAGUGACACACAAAACAAUGUAAUUCUCUAUGGUUUUCAGAUGGAUCAUAAGAGGCACGUGAUAUCAAGAAUUGUUACUUUACAAUGUUCCCUUAAGCAAGAUUUAAUUUUCUUUGAAUUUUAGUUUUUCAUAGACUGAAAUAAACCUUAGGUCCUGCCCAGUUUUAAGUGUGAUGUACUAAUGAUAUAAAGCAACUGGCGGAAAUUGAAAGAAGCUAUAGUCCUCUAGUAGCUGAGACACUGUGGCACUGUGGGUGGAAUGAUAAAGCGGUGUUUAAGAGCUGCUGUGAACACAAGCCAACAGAUAAGGGUAGGAACCACACUGAAGAUUUGCAAAGGGGUUCCUUCCUGGUUUCUCUAUGGGGAUGCAGAGCUAUUGUAACGUCUUUAUUUGGAAAUGUAAAACUCAGAUGCCAGUGUCCUUUCAGUUUAAGGGUACAUUGUAGAGCUCAACUUUUCAGUUACUGUGCAAGAUUGUUUUUCAUGCUGUCAUUUGUAAUAUGUUUGUGAGAAUCUUUGGGAUUAAAGUUUUGGUUACAAAUUGUUGUUUAACUUGAAAGCCUGUUUUUCCUUGCACACUCAAAAUCUGUGAGCUUGGUAUCAAGUCCAGGUAAAACAUUCCUAUUGGAAGCCAUACUUAUAUUUUCUUGUAAAGUGCUUUUGAAUUAAUAAAGUACUAGCAUAAUUGUGUAGUAGUCAGUCGAGCGAACCACUGUUGCCAUUGUUCUUAUCCCUGGGAAAGUAGUUGGUUACCCAGUUCAUUCUUUGUAAGAAACACAACUGAGAAGCACUACAUUAGUGAAGGAAUUUUUUUUUCCCCUUUGCUUGUCACUUAUGAGAGUUAGCCAUUUUUUAGGUGUUGAAGCCAGUUCAGGAUUAUGGCUGUUAGUGACUAACAUUUUAAAGUAAGCUCCAGUAUGGUAGGUAUAUUGUAAUUCCCUUAAGUUGCCCAUAAAAAGUGGCUUUGAUCUUCAGCAUGAAAACAUUCAAAAUUUUAAAAUUUAUUUUAUAACUUGAGGUGUUGCAUGGGAUUCCAAAUUGAUCCAUCAUGAUGUAAAAUCCCCAAUAUGGUUAAUUGUAAUGAUGCACAGUUGAAAUGGAGGCAUGCAUAUCCUUUCUCUUAGAAUCUGGAGGAGUUGUGGUUUCAGGUAUUUGUGUGCAACUAGAUUAAAUCAUAAUGCAACAGUCUUGUGGCUUAAGUUUCCUUAAAUGUGUUCUUUUGAGAUAAGAUUCUACUGUACUGACUUGGUCUAUGUAAGAGCCAUUGCACUAAGUUAAAUCUGUAAGCUUAUAAAUCUCCCCCAUUGUUAUCUUUAAACAAUAAAUUUCAGUAAAAAAGGAGAGAGUUGUGUCUAGAAGGUUCCAACAUGAGCCUUUGAAAGAAGUACCCAUCUUCUUUGAAGGUACUUUUAAAUUAGCUACCCUUGAUCAUUCUGAGUAUAAUACUAAAAGGAUGAUUCCAGGUGUUUGCUAGAGGUCAUUAUUAGUACUUAAUGAUGAUUAAGAAAGGCACCUGAGAAUAUGGGUAACCUCAGAUAUUACAUACACAAUGUAGGUUCUCUUCAUUUACCAUCUAGGUGCCUAAGUGUCAUGAUGGCAUCUCUACCCUGUAUUGGACUGUAAUAAACAGCCAUAGUUGUCUUAGCCACUGGCUUAGUGCCUUGUCUUAACUGUGCUUUGCUUUUCUGAAUCCAGAUGAGAUUUAGGUAUCAAUCUAUUCCAGUGUAUAUUUUUGUACUACCAGACUCUUGUCUUCUGGUUUUCUUUUAGGGUAGGAACAUAAAAGAUUAUUAUUAAAAGACACUGACUUAAAGUU
Mus musculus (house mouse) is the source of this 3041-nucleotide RNA transcript. It is a transcript of the gene named serine and arginine-rich splicing factor 3, with no coding region annotated. The transcript has 7 exons. The record is from RefSeq and is marked reviewed. Lineage: Eukaryota; Metazoa; Chordata; Mammalia; Rodentia; Muridae.